RNAcentral lists this long non-coding RNA (463 nucleotides) under Mytilus galloprovincialis (Mediterranean mussel). Lineage: Eukaryota; Metazoa; Mollusca; Bivalvia; Mytilida; Mytilidae. The record is from RNAcentral.
UACAAUGAUUUAAGUUGACUCAACUACUAUUCUGGACAAAGAAAGAUAACUCCAAUCAAUUGAAAAUUUCUUGCUAUUGCACAAUAUUGUGCAAUUAGAUAUUUCUGGCUAUUGCGCAAUACUGUGCAAUUGAAAAUAUUUGCUAUUGCACAAUACUGUGCAAUUGAAGAUUUCUUGCUAUUGCGCAAUACUGAGCAAUUGAAAAUUUCUUGCUAUUGCACAAUACUGUGCAAUUGAAGAUUUCUUGCUAUUGCUGAAUACUAUGCAAUUGAAAAUUUCUUGCUAUUGCACAAUACUUAAUAUAAUAAUUUUGGAUCCUGAUUUGAACCAACUUGAAAACUGGGCCCAUAAACAAAAAUCUAAGUACAUGUGUAGAUUCAGCAUAUCAAAAAAGCCCAAGAAUUCAAUUUUUGUUAAAAUCAAAUUUAGUUUAAUUUUGGACCCUUUGGACUUUAAUGUAGAC